AAAAACAUUUCUAUUAAAUUUAAUUAAUAGUAAUAUCUGCUCAAUGAAGAUUAAAUAGCCGCAAUAGUGCUAAGGUAGUAUAAUAAUUUGUCUUUUAAUUAAAGACCAAACAAAAGAUUUAACAAUUAAAUCAAUUUUACAAAAAUAUAACAUUUAAAUUAUUCUAAUUGUAAAAAAACAAUUAUAUGAUAAGAAGACGACAAGACCCUAUCGAACUUAACUUAAUGUUUAACUGGGGUAGUUAAUAAAUUAAUAUCUUUAUUUACUUAAAAGAAUCAACGAUCUUAUAUAAUCAAUUGAGUAACCAAGUUACCGUAGGGAUAACAGCGUAAUAUAGUUUUUUAGGUCUUAUUUAAAAUUAAGUUUACGACCUCGAUGUUGAAUUAAUUUACUGACUAACGCAAUAGUAAGUUAAAGUAAGUCUGUUCGACUUUUAAAUAAUUACAUGAUCUGAGUUCAAACCGGAG
RNAcentral lists this ribosomal RNA (467 nucleotides) under Enoploctenus sp. Its description in RNAcentral is "partial large subunit ribosomal RNA". The stretch from base 196 to 467 matches the Rfam family "Archaeal large subunit ribosomal RNA", at positions 2156 to 2690 of the family's 2987-position model. The record is from RNAcentral. Lineage: Eukaryota; Metazoa; Arthropoda; Arachnida; Araneae; Ctenidae.